UAGGGAAUCUUCUGCAAUGGACGAAAGUCUGACCGAGCAACGCCGCGGGAGUGAAGAAGGUGUUCGGAUCGUAAAACUCUGUUGUUAGAGAAGAACAAGGACGGUAGUAACUGAACGUCCCCUGACGGUAUCUAACCAGAAAGCCACGGCUAACUACGUGCUAGCAGCCGCGGUAAUACGUAGGUGGCAAGCGUUGUCCGGAUUUAUUGGGCGUAAAGCGAGCGCAGGCGGUUUCUUAAGUCUGAUGUGAAAGCCCCCGGCUCAACCGGGGAGGGUCAUUGGAAACUGGGAGACUUGAGGGCAGAAGAGGAGAGUGGAAUUCCAUGUGUAGCGGUGAAAUGCGUAGAUAUAUGGAGGAACACCAGUGGCGAAGGCGGCGCUCUGGUCUGUAACUGACGCUGAGGCGCGAAAGCGUGGGGAGCAAACAGG
RNAcentral lists this ribosomal RNA (429 nucleotides) under Gemmatimonadota bacterium. Its description in RNAcentral is "Gemmatimonadetes bacterium partial 16S ribosomal RNA". It matches the Rfam family "Bacterial small subunit ribosomal RNA", at positions 355 to 776 of the family's 1533-position model. Lineage: Bacteria; Pseudomonadati; Gemmatimonadota. The record is from RNAcentral.